This 767-nucleotide long non-coding RNA is filed under the name Equus caballus (horse). RNAcentral describes it as "lncRNA (ENSECAG00000054993.1)". The record is from RNAcentral. Lineage: Eukaryota; Metazoa; Chordata; Mammalia; Perissodactyla; Equidae.
UUUCCUACCUUUAUUUAUUGCAAAUUUUGAGAAGCAAAUUCAUAUCUUGAAUAGGUGGAUCAGGUCACUCCUAGAGGCCUCUGAUAGCGUUCCAUCACUGUUAGCAUAAAACUCAAUUUCCUUACCAUAGUCAGCCAGGCCCUUUAUGACAGCACUCCUGUCAGCAUGGUCACUGUCCCCCAAGGACCCCACACUCCAAUCUCAAAUGCUCUAAGUCCUUUCCCACAGCAAGAUGUUUGCACAUGCUGUUCCCUUUUCCCAACUAGCGUUUUCUUCCUCUGCCUUUGCUGCCUGGAUCUUUCGCAUCUGUCACCUCUUUAGGAAAACCAAAAAUAAGUAUGUGAGGUAAGAGAGAGAAAAACAGCCCUGAGUCCUAUGGAUGAAAGCAGUGAUUCACGAAUUUACAUGGGCAUGAAGAAUCAUCUAGGUCCUUCCUCCUUAAAUACAAAAGCAAGAAAACCCUGCAGACUGCAAAUUCCCAGACCCCUUCCCUGGAGAUACUGAUGUAGAUCCAGGAAUUUGUCUUUUUUUCUUUUUUAAAUUAGGACCCAGGUGAUUCUGAGAAAGGCCUGCAGAUCAUGCUCUGAGAAACCCUAGAAUGAAGAUGAGCUGUUUAAGCUAUUCUCAGUCACGUGUUGAGCUGUCAUCUGGAGCGAUUUCUGUUUAAGCUCAGAAAGAAACCCAUGAGGAAUAAAAAAAGUCCUUCUGUGAGUGAACUGAAUAAUCUGCAAUGAGAAGUUUCUGGAUGCCUUGGGAAGAGAUAAAGG